Molecule: long non-coding RNA, 204 nt
Filed under: Capsicum annuum
Lineage: Eukaryota; Viridiplantae; Streptophyta; Magnoliopsida; Solanales; Solanaceae
Description: long non-coding RNA (CANN_LNC000441)
Source: RNAcentral
CAACAUCACUUCUUUACCUUGCUAAAGCUAAUGAUCGUACAUGGACAAACUUUUUACUUUCUUCAAUUACUCAAAAUCAAUAUUGUAUAUAUCUUUAAUCAAAGAGCGUACAUAAUUAGAUGUAAAUAUUUAAUGAUACACUUACGACAACAUCAGAAUGCAUAUUAAAAGUGUUAACCUCAAUUUCUUUGUGACUAAUCAAUU